AUUGAACGCUGGCGGAAUGCUUUACACAUGCAAGUCGAACGACAGCACGGACCUCGGUCUGGUGGCGGGUGGCGAACGGGUGAGUAAUGUAUCGGAACGUGCCCAGUCGUGGGGGAUAACGUAGUGAAAAUUACGCUAAUACCGCAUACGAUCUAUGGAUGAAAGCGGGGGAUCGCAAGACCUCGCGCGAUUGGAGCGGCCGAUAUCAGAUUAGGUAGUUGGUGGGGUAAAGGCCCACCAAGCCAACGAUCUGUAGCUGGUCAGAGAGGACGACAAGCCACACUGGAACUGAGACACGGUCCAGACUCCUACGGGAGGCAGCAGUGGGGAAUUUUGGACAAUGGACGCAAGUCUGAUCCAGCCAUUCCGCGUGCAGGAUGAGGGCCCUCGGGUUGUAAACUGCUUUUGUACGGAACGAAAAGGUCUCUCUUAAUACGGGGGACUCAUGACGAUACCGUAAGAAUAAGCACCGGCUAACUACGUGCCAGCAGCCGCAGUAA
Molecule: ribosomal RNA, 500 nt
Filed under: uncultured bacterium
Lineage: Bacteria
Description: partial 16S ribosomal RNA
Rfam family: Bacterial small subunit ribosomal RNA
Source: RNAcentral